RNAcentral lists this ribosomal RNA (433 nucleotides) under uncultured bacterium. RNAcentral describes it as "partial 16S ribosomal RNA". It matches the Rfam family "Bacterial small subunit ribosomal RNA", at positions 29 to 507 of the family's 1533-position model. The record is from RNAcentral.
AACGAACGCUGGCGGCAUGCCUAACACAUGCAAGUCGAACGAAACCUCCGGGUCUAGUGGCGCACGGGUGCGUAACGCGUGGGAACCUGCCCUUAGGUUCGGAAUAACUCCCCGAAAGGGGUGCUAAUACCGGAUAAUGUCUUCGGACCAAAGAUUUAUCGCCUUUGGAUGGGCGCGCGUUUGAUUAGCUAGUUGGUAGGGUAACAGCCUACCAAGGCGACGAGCCAUAGCUGGUCUGAGAGGAUGAUCAGCCACACUUGGACUGAGACACGGCCCAGACUCGUACGGGAGGGAGCAGUGGGGUGUAUAGGAGGAGGGACGAAAGUCUGAUCCAGCCAUGCCGCGUGAGUGGUGAAGGCCUUAGGGAUGUAAAGCUCUUUUACCCGGGAUGAUAAUGACAGUACCGGGAGAAUAAGCUCCGGCUAACUCCGUG